This 221-nucleotide long non-coding RNA is filed under the name Bos mutus (wild yak). Its description in RNAcentral is "lncRNA (ENSBMUG00000000927.1)". Lineage: Eukaryota; Metazoa; Chordata; Mammalia; Artiodactyla; Bovidae. The record is from RNAcentral.
UUGGGAUUUGCUUUGAGGAUGUAUAUUUUAUGGGAAAAGGCAUGAUCAGCCUGGCUGCAGUACGGAAUGAUCUGGGAAAUUCUGGAGGACUCUGGCUAACUCCUGACAAGCCAACCCUGGAAGCAGGGUAUAGGAUACUGUUUUUCACAAAUUGGAAGUCUGUGGCAACCCUGCAUCGAUCAAGUGUAUUGGCACCAAUUUUCCCACAGCGUUAUUUUUAA